Molecule: ribosomal RNA, 324 nt
Filed under: uncultured eukaryote
Lineage: Eukaryota
Description: partial 18S ribosomal RNA
Rfam family: Eukaryotic small subunit ribosomal RNA
Source: RNAcentral
CCCUUAGAUGUCCUGGGCUGCACGCGCGCUACACUGAUGUGUCCAGUAAGCACCUAACCUAUUCCGAGAGGAGCGGGUAACCUUAGCAAAGCACAUCGUGAUGGGGAUAGAUUAUUGCAAUUAUUAGUCUUGAACGAGGAAUUCCUAGUAAGCACAAGCCAUCAGCUUGUGUUGAUUACGUCCCUGCCCUUUGUACACACCGCCCGUCGCUCCUACCGAUUGAAUGUUCCGGUGAACUCUUCGGACUGCGCGGUCUGCAGUUUCUGCGUUCCGUGCGGAAAGUUGUGCAAACCUUAACAUUUAGAGGAAGGAGAAGUCGUAACA